RNAcentral lists this ribosomal RNA (497 nucleotides) under uncultured Bacteroidota bacterium. RNAcentral's name for it is "bacterial SSU rRNA". It matches the Rfam family "Bacterial small subunit ribosomal RNA", at positions 355 to 851 of the family's 1533-position model. Lineage: Bacteria; Pseudomonadati; Bacteroidota. The record is from RNAcentral.
UAGGGAAUAUUGGGCAAUGGCCGAGAGGCUGACCCAGCCAUGCCGCGUGCAGGAAGAAGGCCUUCUGGGUUGUAAACUGCUUUUAUCUGGGAAGAAAACGCCCCUGCGGGGGUAACUGACGGUACCAGAUGAAUAAGCACCGGCUAACUCCGUGCCAGCAGCCGCGGUAAUACGGAGGGUGCAAGCGUUGUCCGGAUUUAUUGGGUUUAAAGGGUGCGUAGGCGGCCCGUUAAGUCAGUGGUGAAAUCCCAGGGCUCAACCCUGGAACUGCCAUUGAUACUGACGGGCUUGAGUUCGGUUAAGGCGGGCGGAACUGGUGGUGUAGCGGUGAAAUGCAUAGAUACCACCAAGAACCCCGAUUGCGUAGGCAGCUCGCUGAGCCGAAACUGACGCUGAGGCACGAAAGCGUGGGGAGCGAACAGGAUUAGAUACCCUGGUAGUCCGACGCCGUAAACGAUAGAAUACUCGAUGUUAGCGAUAUACUGUUAGCGUCCAAG